Molecule: ribosomal RNA, 253 nt
Filed under: uncultured bacterium
Lineage: Bacteria
Description: partial 16S ribosomal RNA
Rfam family: Bacterial small subunit ribosomal RNA
Source: RNAcentral
GACGAACCGAGCGAACGUUAUUCGGAAUCACUGGGCUUAAAGGGCGCGUAGGCGGGCCGUCAAGUCAGGGGUGAAAGCCCCCAGCUCAACUGGGGAAGUGCCUUUGAUACUGACGGCCUCGAGGGAGAUAGGGGUGUGCGGAACUUCCAGUGGAGCGGUGAAAUGUGUUGAUAUUGGAAGGAACGCCGGUGGCGAAAGCGGCACACUGGGUCUUAACUGACGCUGAGGCACGAAAGCCAGGGGAGCGAACGGG